This 21-nucleotide non-coding RNA is filed under the name Caenorhabditis elegans. The record is from RNAcentral. Lineage: Eukaryota; Metazoa; Nematoda; Chromadorea; Rhabditida; Rhabditidae.
UCUGGGUGUUUCUCGGUUGGU